RNAcentral lists this ribosomal RNA (405 nucleotides) under uncultured bacterium. RNAcentral describes it as "partial 16S ribosomal RNA". It matches the Rfam family "Bacterial small subunit ribosomal RNA", at positions 28 to 526 of the family's 1533-position model. The record is from RNAcentral.
GAUGAACGCUGGCGGCGUGCCUAAUACAUGCAAGUCGAGCGAAGCGGGGACGGGUGAGUAACACGUGGAUAACCUCCUAUAAGACUGGGACAACUUCGGGAAACCGGAGCUAAACCGGAUCCUUAUAGAUGGAUCCGCGCUGCAUUAGCUAGUUGGUAAGGUAACGGCUUACCAGGGCAACGAUGCAUAGCCGACCUGAGAGGGUGAUCAGCCACACUGGAACUGAGACACGGUCCAGACUCCUACGAGAGGCAGCAGUAGGGAAUCGUCCGCAAUGGGCGAAAGACUGACGGAGCAACGCCGCGUGAGGGAUGAAGGUCUUCGGAUCGUAAAACUCUGUUAGUGGUGAAGCGGUAAUCAACCAGAAAGUCACGGCUAACUACGUGCCAGCAGCCGCGGGAAUUC